RNAcentral lists this small nucleolar RNA (129 nucleotides) under Castor canadensis (American beaver). RNAcentral's name for it is "U8 small nucleolar RNA (ENSCCNG00000023384.1)". It matches the Rfam family "U8 small nucleolar RNA". Rfam says of the family: U8 is a member of the C/D class of snoRNA which contain the C (UGAUGA) and D (CUGA) box motifs. U8 is the RNA component of a small complex (the U8 snoRNP) which is required for accumulation of mature large subunit ribosomal RNAs, 5.8S and 28S rRNAs. U8 RNA has been identified in human, mouse, rat and Xenopus. The record is from Rfam by way of RNAcentral. Lineage: Eukaryota; Metazoa; Chordata; Mammalia; Rodentia; Castoridae.
UCAUCAGGUGGGAUAAUCCUUACCUGUUCCUCCUUUUGGAGAGAAGAUAGAACAUGAUGAUUGGAGUUUGCCUAAUAUGUGAUUAACAUCUCUGCAUAAUCAGGACUUACAACACUGGUUACUUCUGAU